This 357-nucleotide long non-coding RNA is filed under the name Zea mays. Its description in RNAcentral is "drought responsive lncRNA". The record is from RNAcentral. Lineage: Eukaryota; Viridiplantae; Streptophyta; Magnoliopsida; Poales; Poaceae.
UCCAUCUAUCAUCUCUCCCUCCAUCGUAGCGGGGUCAAACAGAGGGACGCUCGGGAGAUGGCGUCCUAUAUCGGCGUGCAUACCCAUACUUCUGAGUAAAACCACGUCCUUUCCUGAUUUGUUGAGGUUGCCCAUUGUCUGCAGAACCCACACCUAAAUCUUUACCAUUGGUGGACAAAGGUUCAUUGCUUGGCAGAUGCCUUCCUUCACCAGUUCUAGACAUGCUAGCCUCUGCAUUAUCACCACCAAUGUUGCCAUCUACAUUUACUGGUUUCAUUAAAUUUACAUCAAACUGAAUGGGAUUGUUCCUGGAGCUUCCACCUGGAUCAUUCCUAUGUUUAUAAAAAUGGGUGUGCA